This is a long non-coding RNA of Brachypodium distachyon (stiff brome), 1610 nucleotides long. RefSeq lists it as uncharacterized. The transcript is spliced from 3 exons. The record is from RefSeq and is a predicted model, not a curated record. Lineage: Eukaryota; Viridiplantae; Streptophyta; Magnoliopsida; Poales; Poaceae.
UGAUGCCAUGGGCUCCCAGUGGUCAAGCGGAGCUGACAUUUGGAACUCAAACUCCCUUGAGUGUUGGGGUGAGGCUGCCAUGGCUGUGGUGUAGCAGAGCAAGCUUGCUGUGGUGGUGACCACUUCUGCUGCUGCAGGGUUACAAGGUAGCCAACAUGGUUCAUGGCUUCAUGCUUUAAAUGAUUUACAAACUGCCUGGUGCCUGCUGAUAUGCAGGGUGCCCCAAACGACCAAACCACUUGGUUGGAAUGCUAACUGGGACGGUUCCAUUGGGAAGCAUCAUAUUUCUUUCGAGCAAGAAAGUGUAGGAAGGUUUGUUGGAUUGCUUAAUGGUAUUUCAGAUGCAAAGGCCACAUUCUAUGUUGACACUUGACAGUGAAGUACGAUUGAAGGUAAUUUAAAUUAGCGUCAAAAAUAAGCUGAGUUUUAAGUUCCAUGUGGCUUGAAUUCGCUUCCCAGGUGCAACAACACAUUGUUGAAGCUUGACCAAUUCAUGAUCAAGCUUGUGUUUUUAAAUUUGGAAGUAAGGGCGCAUGCCCUCAAAACAUGGAGCAAGGUGCUAUUUGUUCAUUUCAUCUUCAUGUCAAUCUAUGGAAGUCUGAGGGUGACAUCAGUGGCAAGAGAUCAGGCCCCUUGUUUAAGUUUCUUGUCCAAACUGCGCGUGCGUAGCUAGCUAGAUGUUCUCCGCGUCCUUGUUUCCAUCUCUCCGGUGCUUGCAGCAGUUCCUUGCCUUUUGAUCCAAGGUCAGCUUUGCCUCCCUAGUAUAAUUAUUGAUUACUGGGCAUGGAUUAGCGCUCUUCAAGGCCUUCAUGGUGCAUUAAUAAUACCUGUCUUAUCUAUCUCUUGUGCUCUACUUAUUUUAGGUUCUUAGCUGGAUCAAUAUGUUUAUUGAAUCUGAUAUAUGCUGAAACACUCUAUUUUGUUUGUAAAUUACUCGUACUACUCUUUUUUUGCAUGCAGAUCUUUUUCUCGAAGCAAGUUUUGUUCUGUGUAACUUCUCAUGCAGACCUUCGGCAUCAAAGUUGGUAAAUUUCGCCCCAAGAAACCCCGAGGAAAAACUACCUGCCCAGCCCGCAAAUUUUGUCAAACAAGAUGCGACUACCUAGUAAAAAGCACCCUGGCACCAGCUAGAGCACUAAGCAAGGAUCCAACAAAUUGCUUAAAGGAAAGGAGGGUCCUCUGAAAGCUCUCAGAGCUCGAGGUGUACUUUGCCGCUUCUCCAAACUUGGAACCAAACAAAAAGCUUCUGGUCUUGCAGCAAUUUCUGGGGCCUCUGAUCACCUAAUAGGCAGAAAGUUCGUGCAGAAUUUUGACUGCUUAACUCUCCAACUCCAGGUUCCGACACUAAUCAUUGCUCCGUAUUCCAUAUGGCAAUAAGCAGUCAUCCUGGCUGGUUUAACUUUUUCGAAAAAUGCUUAAUUAGCAGCUAAGCUUAGCCCAUGAGCAUUCUAUACCUGUAACUAUCGAGCUAAAGGCGAACGGUUCGUGGGUAACUUUGUUACAGACCCACCAUGUUUCUUUGUACUGUUCUCAAAUUCUGCGAUGUGACUGAACUAGUUGCUUGGAGAUAUCUUAUUUUAGGAGAAUGGAACAAACCUCUUUUAUCAAGA